RNAcentral lists this ribosomal RNA (229 nucleotides) under uncultured bacterium. RNAcentral describes it as "partial 16S ribosomal RNA". It matches the Rfam family "Bacterial small subunit ribosomal RNA", at positions 568 to 796 of the family's 1533-position model. The record is from RNAcentral.
UGUGUAGGCGGGGGAUUAAGUCAGUGGUGAAAUCCUACAGCUUAACUGUAGAACUGCCAUUGAUACUGAUUUUCUUGAGUAUAGUUGAAGUGGGCGGAAUGUGUAUUGUAGCGGUGAAAUGCUUAGAUAUUACACAGAACACCUAUUGCGAAGGCAGCUCACUAAACUAAUACUGACGCUGAGGCACGAAAGCGUGGGGAGCAAACAGGAUUAGAUACCCUGGUAGUCC